UUGAGGUGUAGGCCUGGGACCAUUUACUCUGUUGAGGUGUAGGCCUGGGACCAUUUACUCUGUUGAGGUGUAGGCCUGGGACCAUUUACUCUGUUGAGGUGUAGGCCUGGGACCAUUUACUCUGUUGAGGUGUAGGCCUGGGACCAUUUACUCUAUUGAGGUGUAGGUCUGGGACCAUUUGCUCUGUUGAGGUGUAGACGGCUCCAGCCAGUACCCCGAGCCCAAUCUCCCCAGUGAAGGUACCACCAACUUCCUGUGGCCCAGGGAGCGCUAUCUGUCUGGUUGCGUAGCAGAAGGCUGGCACACAGGACCAGUAAGCUUUGUUGGCACGGUUUAAAUCCCAUUAUGUCUUAACUUGAUCCUUAAAUCCUCAGUCAGCUCCCCAUCUGUCAGUUUAUUUCAUCCUCAGUCAGAGCCGUCUGUCCGUCCGUCUUGGACAACAGAUGCAUAUUAAUAAUCCAGUUUGUUGUCUUGUCAGGAAGCCAUGUUGAAAACAUCAAUACAGGGAUGAUUGAAAAGAACUGCUCGUUUCAGUAUUUGUUAUACACAUUGUGAAAGUUUGAAGUUAGUGAGUGUCUCACUGAGACGUUAGAACCUACAAAUCUCUCCCUUAAGCUCUGUUUAGGGGAUAGAAGUGUACUUUUCAUUAGUGCAUGACAGUAGGCGUGUAACCCAUACCCACAGGCACUUCAUAUGGGGCCUGUUAGAGCCAGCUAUCCUCUCUGAGGAGAGACGGAUGAGAGGAGUGGGAGGGAGGAUGGAGGAGUGUGAAAUUAGGAGAGACCGGAAGAAAGAAACAACAGGAUGGAAAAACAUGUUAAGUAAACUGUGAAAGAAACCGUGGAAAGUGUAGAGUUAGACAUGAGGCGGUGAAGUGCUGUGCAUAACAAUUGUGGGAAUGUGUUUUGUGUAAGUCUGUUGAAUUGCUCUUUCGGGUAACAAAACCAGUUGAGGACACCAUAGAGAUAAAAACAUCGACCACGUUGUCACACAGAAAACCUGUGGGAUUCAGUAGUUAACAUCCAAUGCAGUCUCGUUUGAAGAGUGUUUCUGAAAAUACUUUGUUCAAUGUGUCCCUA
This is a long non-coding RNA of Oncorhynchus tshawytscha (Chinook salmon), 1079 nucleotides long. The record is from Ensembl. NCBI's taxonomy places the organism in Eukaryota, Metazoa, Chordata, Actinopteri, Salmoniformes, Salmonidae.